UCAAUCAUUCCCAAACUUUGCUGUACAUUGAAAUCACCUGGGAAGCUUUUAACACUAACCCUGUGCCCAAGGUCAUACCCAAUGCUAAUGAAAUCAAAAUGUCUCAUGUUGAAAGUGAGGCAGUGACUAAAGCUCCUCAGGUGAUUUUAAUGUGCAGCAAAGUUUGAGAGCCACCGCCUAAUUUGAGUUUAGGAUGACAAACUGCUCCUAUUUGGUGGGACCUUGGGCAAGUCAGUUUUAAGGGUUGUUACCAUUAUCUGUAAAAUGAGUGUGGAUUAAAUGUCAUGUAAGGUCAUGGGUCCUUUUCACCAUGUAACAUCAAAUUCUGUGUUUCUAAAGUUAUUUCAGAGAUGAAAACUACUUGAAGUACUAUAGACAUAUCCAUCUUAAAUGUUACAGGCUUUUUAAAAAGUGCUAAUAUUGUAUAGACCUACUAUUGAAAUUCAGAUUUGCCUUCCCUCAAUUAUUUUGAGCCUCAUUCUAGAUGCUGAGGGCAAAUGGAAGCACAUAACUUAUGUAAGAGAACCUCUUGUUUUCUGAUACAAAGCAUCUGUGGAUAACUUAGGGAUACAGUAACAUAUCUGAAGAGUUGUAUCUGUUCAGAAAUAUUUCACUUCAACUAAUUGAAAGUACCUGCCAUUAAUAUUACACUGUGUAGUGUUAUACUGCUUUGUUAGCACUGCUUAUUGUAGGAUCGCUGUACCUAUUGUUGAUCUCAUGUGUACUUAUGUUUACUAAUACAUGCCGGUUCCAACCCGCAGACCCUGGCUGAAUGAUGGAUGAAGGAAUGCACUCAGACACAGGUAUCCAGUGAACGAGCGGGCUAGGAGACCAGGCCACUCACAGACACUGAGGAGGGUGCUGUAAAGAGUCAGCAGCCAUGGCCCUGACAAGCUGGCACUACUGGCAUUUAUUCAGCACAGAUUUAAUGACAAAGGCUUUGACUCAACACACUUGUGGAUAAUUAGCAUGGUCACCCUCUGGGAGACAGCAGUCCUACAUGCAAAUAAUCAAAGAUUUACAUAGAAAGACUUGUAAGUUAUGCUGAUACCAACAUUUGUCCAGCCAACUGGAAGAGGAUCAUCUCGUCAGCCAUGUCUCUUGCUGUGGAGCGAUGACCAGGAGGUUGCUGGGAGUGUGAAAAACCGCAGGCUCUCUGAGAACAUUUCAUCAGAUGACACGCUUGAGUUGGGAAACCAAUUCUCCCACUUAAUAAUGAUGUUGACGUUCCUGGCAGUCUUUAUACCAAAUGCUACUUUGACCUUUGCACGUUGGCAUACGACAGUAGCCUAUAUUUGCCAUUUUGUCUUGACAUAGUAAGAGCAUGGGAGCUGGAGGUAAGGCUAUGAAGGUACUAAGUGGGCUUUCAGUCAACACCAAUGCUAACAUCUGCGACUAGAUCAUAUUAAGAAGUGAUUAUAAAAAUGAAAAGCUUCAAAAUUAACAUAUUGAAGAGCUUAUUAACCUUUCUGCAUUCUAUUUUCUAUAUAUUUAUGGUUUAUACAAGGAUUCACAUUAUUUAAAUGUUAUAGAUAUCUCUUCUGAAACCAUAAUUCAGAUUAUUUUAAUCAAAUUUAAUUCAUUCUUAAUUGUUUUCCUUUUGAACCGCUACCCUUUCAAAUAGUCGUACAUAAGUGAUUUCUGGCAGUUGUAUUCCUGAUAUCUACAUAUAUAAUGAACUUAACAUUCUUGACUAUUUUUUAUCAUUCAGUUUGCAAAUUUAUGUCAUUUUCUACUGUAUAUACCACAGUGCAGUGAGUCCCAUGAGUUUGUUAGACAAAGUAUUAGUGCCUAAGCCAAAAGACCUGCACUUAGACUGUACAAAGUAUGCGGGUCUCAAGCACUGGAUGCAGUAAGUACAUGGGAUUCUACCGGAAAUAACUUUUAUGGGGCAAAGUAAUAUUCAUGGUUUGUGACUUUUGGUAAGUACACAGCAAAAUUACUCACAACUGACAUGGAUGAACAUUUAAAAUAGGCAUUUUUGGUGGUACCUGGGAAGUAUUUUAAAAUAAUACAUUUUGUACCAUGAUUAAUGUGCAAGUGAAGUAACACCUUUUGAUGCUUUAGUCAUUAGACUUAUUUGACGUUCCAAUGCAGUCCGGAACAUACCUGCCUCAUUAAAAUUUGCUUUGAAUAUAUAAUAACUACUACAGAUUGGGUAGAAUUUGAAUACAUUCAUAAACUAACUUUUGCAAAAGUAUACGUUCAUUUUGUUUAAGGAACAAGUGCACAGGUAACAGAUGAUACUGUUGUUAGAAGCCUGUCACAACACUGUGACAUCUUUGGGAGCCCAAUUUUUAAAUAACUUAAUAAAACAAGUUCCCCCUUUGCUCCAGCAAUCUAAUUAUAGCUCUUAAAGGAGACCACCUCAGUGAGUUGACAGAACUUGGCAGUGUAAACCUCAGCCAAAGUAGCUGUUACUGAACUAUCUAAAGGAGUCUGCAUGUGUGGCUUAUCAUCGAUGGUGAUUGUUACAGGUUGGAACCCCUUUUGAAAUUGUACCUCUUUUCUAUUCAAUUGUCUUUCUUAGGUUGUUUCAAGGUUGGAAGACAAAGACUUUUAUGGUACUGCCAACAAAAGGAAAAGGUCUUUGAGUGCUGAUGAUUUAAUGGAUCUUCAGUGCCUUAAGGCCAUCCACUCCUGAAGGAAGAAGUGAGGGGUUAUGUAACAUCUGAACCCCUCAUCAAAAAAGACAGGAAAAUAUCACCUUUCCUGCUGAAGAACUGGAAAAGUACAUUCAAAAGAAGAAACACCUAAAAUUCAAGUUAACUCAAGGACAACUAGGAUUGCACUUCAUAGAAAAGCAUGGGACCUUGUCAAUGCAGCAACACACUCUUCCACUCUUCUGUCCCUCUUAAUGUAAAAAAGAGUUAUAAAAUGUUGGGAACAGGCCCCCCAAAAUCUGGCCAUAAACUGGCCCCAAAACUGGCCAUAAACAAAAUCCCUGCAGC
Long non-coding RNA from Cercocebus atys (sooty mangabey), 2951 nucleotides. RefSeq lists it as uncharacterized. The transcript is spliced from 3 exons. Lineage: Eukaryota; Metazoa; Chordata; Mammalia; Primates; Cercopithecidae. The record is from RefSeq and is a predicted model, not a curated record.